Long non-coding RNA from Neofelis nebulosa (Clouded leopard), 1506 nucleotides. RefSeq lists it as uncharacterized. The record is from RefSeq and is a predicted model, not a curated record. The transcript is spliced from 7 exons. Lineage: Eukaryota; Metazoa; Chordata; Mammalia; Carnivora; Felidae.
GCACAUUCUCUCUCCUGUGGUCCCUGCUUUCUCCAGGAACCAGGUUAUUGUGCAAAACCAAACUCUGCAUACUGAGCAAAACAAAGCAGAAAGAUGAGUUCAUUGCAACAGUUUUGACGUGCAAGCCCAGAAACUCAAGACUAUGGAGCAAUGAGUUCCAAGUUGCUCACAGACUGAAGGACUUUUAUAGGGUAAAUGCAGAAGUUAUCUGGCUUGUUCAGCUGAUUGGUUGCCAGGUGGUCUUUUUCCUUAUCUGGAAUAGGGUGGCUGAGUCAGGGCAACAAGGAAGUCCAGAGAUGCUGUGAAGAGCCUUGGUGUUUGGGGUUUGGCUGGCAUCCUCUGCUGAUCUCUGAGGAGAGUUGUGAAUUCCUGUGAGGUGAGGUUAACUUUUGUUCUUUUUUAUACACCUGCAUUGACUGUCUCCAUUUUUCCCCUGACAUAAUGACUCCGUUUGAGUUUGGCUCUACAUUGUCAUUGCAAGAACUGGCUCAGAGAGGACCUGCUUCCCUUGCCUCUCACGUCUUAUGUUGAUCAAGGGCUUCCGGCUGUGUUGGCAGGUGUCACAGAGGAAGGAGCAUCACAGAUGUGUGUGCGCCACGUGACUUAGUUGGGGAAAUGGAUCAAAUCCAGACUGGGUUGCCAAGGAAGCCAGAGUGGAGGCUGUUGGAAGGAUGGGUUUGAAUGAACUUUGGCUGCUCCACAAGCAGGCUGAUUACUGAGGAAACAUCAAAAGCUUCACCCGAAUGACUCAUCACCCAGAUCCAACAGAGGAACAGAAUUUGGGGGUGGUAAAAAAAAUCAAUAAAACACACUGCCCAAAGCAUUUUCAAGCUUGAGGAUGGGAGAGUGUAAAGGAACAAUCAUGUAAACAAUAAAUGACGAUAUAAAGAAGAAUGAGAAGUAAUGAUCAAAAGGAGAUCAUUAAGAGGAUGUAACCUCUAGUUGACCUGAGGGCUGGAUCUGGGCAAUAGGAACCUCUUCAGCCCCUCCCCUUGGAAUGUAUGUCCUUCCCACCAUUUCCUACAGCUGGAGCUGUUGUCAAGGAUGCAACUUUGAAAGAGCAACCUGUUGUUGAGGCCAUUGAUGGUACAUGUGACUGAACUAGGCUUUCCACAUCACUAGGCCCACGUGCAACAAGUAAGCAGGCAUAGUCUUUCUGGAAGAGGAGCACGGGCACCUGCUUGCUAAUUUCCCUCACUACCAAGAAACCUGAAUCAUCACCAGAGACCCCAAACAUAGGAUUUUGAAAACAACAAAGUAGAUGAGAGCAGAGAAAAGGAGGGACAGAUGCACAAUGGGAGAGAAAGAAAGAACAAAAGGGACAGGAGGGGGAAGAUACAUCUGGCUGUGCCUGAAGCAAGAACUACUGUUGGAUUUUUUACUAACAUGAGCCAAUCACUUGUGUUGACUUUAACCAUCUAUACAAAAUCACAGAAGACUGGCAUAUGGAGGUUAACUCAAGGGAUUUGGGGAGAACUUUCUCCUCCAUUAAAAUUUUGAGAAAGA